GAUUAAGUUAUUAAGGGCGCACGGUGGAUGCCUUGGCACUAGAAGCCGAUGAAGGACGUUACUAACGACGAUAUGCUUUGGGGAGCUGUAAGUAAGCUUUGAUCCAGAGAUUUCCGAAUGGGGAAACCCAGCAUGAGUUAUGUCAUGUUAUCGAUAUGUGAAUACAUAGCAUAUCAGAAGGCACACCCGGAGAACUGAAACAUCUUAGUACCCGGAGGAAGAGAAAGAAAAUUCGAUUCCCUUAGUAGCGGCGAGCGAAACGGGAAGAGCCCAAACCAACAAGCUUGCUUGUUGGGGUUGUAGGACACUCUAUACGGAGUUACAAAGGACGACAUUAGACGAAUCAUCUGGAAAGAUGAAUCAAAGAAGGUAAUAAUCCUGUAGUCGAAAAUGUUGUCUCUCUUGAGUGGAUCCUGAGUACGACGGAGCACGUGAAAUUCCGUCGGAAUCUGGGAGGACCAUCUCCUAAGGCUAAAUACUCUCUAGUGACCGAUAGUGAACCAGUACCGUGAGGGAAAGGUGAAAAGCACCCCGGAAGGGGAGUGAAAUAGAACCUGAAACCGUGUGCUUACAAGUAGUCAGAGCCCGUUAAUGGGUGAUGGCGUGCCUUUUGUAGAAUGAACCGGCGAGUUACGAUUUGAUGCAAGGUUAAGCAGUAAAUGUGGAGCCGUAGCGAAAGCGAGUCUGAAUAGGGCGUUUAGUAUUUGGUCGUAGACCCGAAACCAGGUGAUCUACCCUUGGUCAGGUUGAAGUUCAGGUAACACUGAAUGGAGGACCGAACCGACUUACGUUGAAAAGUGAGCGGAUGAACUGAGGGUAGCGGAGAAAUUCCAAUCGAACCUGGAGAUAGCUGGUUCUCUCCGAAAUAGCUUUAGGGCUAGCCUCAAGUGAUGAUUAUUGGAGGUAGAGCACUGUUUGGACGAGGGGCCCCUCUCGGGUUACCGAAUUCAGACAAACUCCGAAUGCCAAUUAAUUUAACUUGGGAGUCAGAACAUGGGUGAUAAGGUCCGUGUUCGAAAGGGAAACAGCGCAGACCACCAGCUAAGGUCCCAAAAUAUAUGUUAAGUGGAAAAGGAUGUGGCGUUGCCCAGACAACUAGGAUGUUGGCUUAGAAGCAGCCAUCAUUUAAAGAGUGCGUAAUAGCUCACUAGUCGAGUGACACUGCGCCGAAAAUGUACCGGGGCUAAACAUAUUACCGAAGCUGUGGAUUGUCCUUUGGACAAUGGUAGGAGAGCGUUCUAAGGGCGUUGAAGCAUGAUCGUAAGGACAUGUGGAGCGCUUAGAAGUGAGAAUGCCGGUGUGAGUAGCGAAAGACGGGUGAGAAUCCCGUCCACCGAUUGACUAAGGUUUCCAGAGGAAGGCUCGUCCGCUCUGGGUUAGUCGGGUCCUAAGCUGAGGCCGACAGGCGUAGGCGAUGGAUAACAGGUUGAUAUUCCUGUACCACCUAUAAUCGUUUUAAUCGAUGGGGGGACGCAGUAGGAUAGGCGAAGCGUGCGAUUGGAUUGCACGUCUAAGCAGUAAGGCUGAGUAUUAGGCAAAUCCGGUACUCGUUAAGGCUGAGCUGUGAUGGGGAGAAGACAUUGUGUCUUCGAGUCGUUGAUUUCACACUGCCGAGAAAAGCCUCUAGAUAGAAAAUAGGUGCCCGUACCGCAAACCGACACAGGUAGUCAAGAUGAGAAUUCUAAGGUGAGCGAGCGAACUCUCGUUAAGGAACUCGGCAAAAUGACCCCGUAACUUCGGGAGAAGGGGUGCUCUUUAGGGUUAACGCCCAGAAGAGCCGCAGUGAAUAGGCCCAAGCGACUGUUUAUCAAAAACACAGGUCUCUGCUAAACCGUAAGGUGAUGUAUAGGGGCUGACGCCUGCCCGGUGCUGGAAGGUUAAGAGGAGUGGUUAGCUUCUGCGAAGCUACGAAUCGAAGCCCCAGUAAACGGCGGCCGUAACUAUAACGGUCCUAAGGUAGCGAAAUUCCUUGUCGGGUAAGUUCCGACCCGCACGAAAGGCGUAACGAUUUGGGCACUGUCUCAACGAGAGACUCGGUGAAAUCAUAGUACCUGUGAAGAUGCAGGUUACCCGCGACAGGACGGAAAGACCCCGUGGAGCUUUACUGUAGCCUGAUAUUGAAAUUCGGCACAGCUUGUACAGGAUAGGUAGGAGCCUUUGAAACGUGAGCGCUAGCUUACGUGGAGGCGCUGGUGGGAUACUACCCUAGCUGUGUUGGCUUUCUAACCCGCACCACUUAUCGUGGUGGGAGACAGUGUCAGGCGGGCAGUUUGACUGGGGCGGUCGCCUCCUAAAAGGUAACGGAGGCGCUCAAAGGUUCCCUCAGAAUGGUUGGAAAUCAUUCAUAGAGUGUAAAGGCAUAAGGGAGCUUGACUGCGAGACCUACAAGUCGAGCAGGGUCGAAAGACGGACUUAGUGAUCCGGUGGUUCCGCAUGGAAGGGCCAUCGCUCAACGGAUAAAAGCUACCCCGGGGAUAACAGGCUUAUCUCCCCCAAGAGUUCACAUCGACGGGGAGGUUUGGCACCUCGAUGUCGGCUCAUCGCAUCCUGGGGCUGUAGUCGGUCCCAAGGGUUGGGCUGUUCGCCCAUUAAAGCGGUACGCGAGCUGGGUUCAGAACGUCGUGAGACAGUUCGGUCCCUAUCCGUCGUGGGCGUAGGAAAUUUGAGAGGAGCUGUCCUUAGUACGAGAGGACCGGGAUGGACAUACCUCUGGUGUACCAGUUGUCGUGCCAACGGCAUAGCUGGGUAGCUAUGUGUGGACGGGAUAAGUGCUGAAAGCAUCUAAGCAUGAAGCCCCCUCAAGAUGAGAUUUCCCAACUUCGGUUAUAAGAUCCCUCAAAGAUGAUGAGGUUAAUAGGUUCGAGGUGGAAGCAUGGUGACAUGUGGAGCUGACGAAUACUAAUCGAUCGAAGACUUAAUCAA
RNAcentral lists this ribosomal RNA (2922 nucleotides) under Staphylococcus aureus. RNAcentral describes it as "23S ribosomal RNA". It matches the Rfam family "Bacterial large subunit ribosomal RNA". Lineage: Bacteria; Bacillati; Bacillota; Bacilli; Caryophanales; Staphylococcaceae. The record is from RNAcentral.